GUGGGGAAUCUUAGACAAUGGGCGCAAGCCUGAUCUAGCCAUGCCGCGUGAGUGAUGAAGGCCCUAGGGUUGUAAAGCUCUUUCAGCUGGGUAGAUAAUGACGGUACCAGCAGAAGAAGCCCCGGCUAACUCCGUGCCAGCAGCCGCGGUAAUACGGAGGGGGCUAGCGUUGUUCGGAAUUACUGGGUGUAAAGCGCGCGUAGGCGGACUGAAAAGUUGGGGGUGAAAUCCCGGGGCUCAACCUCGGAACUGCCUUCAAAACUAUCAGUCUGGAGUUCGAGAGAGGUGAGUGGAAUUCCGAGUGUAGAGGUGAAAUUCGUAGGUAUUCGGAGGAACACCAGUGGCGAAGGCGGCUCACUGGCUCGAUACUGACGCUGGGGUGCGAAAGCGUGGUGAGGAAACAGGAUUAGAAACCCGAGUAGUCC
This 425-nucleotide ribosomal RNA is filed under the name uncultured bacterium. RNAcentral describes it as "partial 16S ribosomal RNA". It matches the Rfam family "Bacterial small subunit ribosomal RNA", at positions 354 to 796 of the family's 1533-position model. The record is from RNAcentral.